This 509-nucleotide ribosomal RNA is filed under the name uncultured bacterium. Its description in RNAcentral is "bacterial SSU rRNA". It matches the Rfam family "Bacterial small subunit ribosomal RNA", at positions 18 to 518 of the family's 1533-position model. The record is from RNAcentral.
CCUGGCUCAGGAUGAACGCUGGCGGCGUGCCUAACACAUGCAAGUCGAACGGUGAUGAUUGAUAUUUCGGAUGGAUUCAUCAUAGUGGCGGACGGGUGAGUAACGCGUGGAUAACCUGGCCCUCGGUAACUGGGGGAAUAGCAGGCUGGAAACGGCUGGUAAUACCGCAUAAGCGCACGGUGCCGCAUGACAUUGUGUGAAAAGAUUUAGUCGGUACGAGAUGGAUCCGCGUCUGAUUAGCCAGUUGGCGGGUAACGGCCACCAAAGCGACGAUCAGUAGCCGGCCUGAGAGGGUGAACGGCCACAUUGGGACUGAGACACGGCCCAGACUCCUACGGGAGGCAGCAGUGGGGAAUAUUGCACAAUGGGCGAAAGCCUGAUGCAGCGACGCCCGCGUGAGUGAAGAAGUAUUUCGGUAUGUAAAGCUCUAUCAGCAGGGAAGAAAGGCCCGAAAGGGAGAUGACGGUACCUGACUAAGAAGCCCCGGCUAACUACGUGCCAGCCGCGGC